UGUAGGACCAUGAAAAGAACUACCCCACGCAUGAAUUGGAGCUAGCGGUGGUAGUUUUGCGUUAAAGAUAUGGUGACACUAUCUAUAUGGAGAGAAAACUCAAAUCUACACUAACCAGAAAAUCCUAAAGUAUUUCUUCACUCACGAGCUAAAUAUGAGACAACAGAGGUGGUUGAAACUAGUCAAAGAUUAUGACAUCGACAUCCAGUACCACUAUGGGAAGACGAAG
Molecule: long non-coding RNA, 229 nt
Organism: Cucurbita maxima (winter squash)
Lineage: Eukaryota; Viridiplantae; Streptophyta; Magnoliopsida; Cucurbitales; Cucurbitaceae
Exons: 3
Source: RefSeq, a predicted model, not a curated record